CAACCAUCUUGUUAGGACAUUCACAACUUGAAUCGCCAAAAAGAAAGGUGAGAAUCAAAUCAAUCCAUUUAAAUCAUCAAAUAGAUGAAAAACAAGAAAUAGAACCGCAGGAUCUCAAACAAUCAAGCUUACUCAUGCCUAGCCCGCUCCGUACAACGGAGACUUACUGCUCGAUCAAUUGCUUUUGCUUUAGCUGGAAGAUUGUUGAAGAAACAAAAUAUAUUUUGAGAGCCACAGUCCUCAACGAUCGUGGUGUGAAUCCACGGGCACCGGAGCGUUCCUUCCUUGGAGAGCCAAAACUCAAAAUGAAAGCCGCAAAAAAGACGGGCUCUUUCAGGUUGAACGUCGCUGCAUUGAAGAUAUUCGUUUGGGAUGUUUUUUUUGUUGGGAGGUUGCUAUUUUUCGACUCUUGAUGCCGUUUGCUCUUAUUCUGUGGCCUUUUGCCUUGUUGGCUUCGUUUUGGUUUUUUGUUUUCUUUUAUGUGUCUUUAAUUGUAAUAGAUCGAAUCAAAGGCUCGUAAGUUUUGCUUUAAAUGAUGUAUUUUUAGAGGGCUAUUGAUUCACUAAGGACUUGUAAUCUCAUUUUCAAAUUAACGCGUAAGCCCCUUUGGUGAGUUUUAUCCCAAAAAAAAAGGGUUUUUGCUCU
Long non-coding RNA from Dendrobium catenatum, 645 nucleotides. RefSeq lists it as uncharacterized. The transcript is spliced from 2 exons. NCBI's taxonomy places the organism in Eukaryota, Viridiplantae, Streptophyta, Magnoliopsida, Asparagales, Orchidaceae. The record is from RefSeq and is a predicted model, not a curated record.